Molecule: ribosomal RNA, 670 nt
Filed under: marine metagenome
Description: bacterial SSU rRNA
Rfam family: Archaeal small subunit ribosomal RNA
Source: RNAcentral
GCCUAAAACGUCCGUAGCCUGUUUGGUAAAUCUGUGGGUAAAUCAACCAGCUUAACUGGUUGAAUUCUGCAGAGACUGCCAGACUAGGGACCGGGAGAGGUGUGGGGUACUCUAGGGGUAGGGGUAAAAUCCUGUCAUCCUUAGAGGACCACCAGUUGCGAAGGCGCCACACUGGAACGGAUUCGACGGUCAGGGACGAAGCCUAGGGGCACGAACCGGAUUAGAUACCCGGGUAGUCCUAGGUGUAAACGCUGUGAACUUGGUGUCGGGGAUCCGUCAUGGGUCCCCGGUGCCGGAGUGAAGAUGUUAAGUUCACUGCCUGGGGAGUACGGUCGCAAGGCUGAAACUUAAAGGAAUUGGCGGGGGAGCACUGCAACGGGAGGAGCGUGCGGUUUAAUUGGAUUCAACGCCGGAAAACUCACCAGGGCCGACUGUUAGAUGAAGACCAGUGUAACGAACUUGUCGGAUUUUCAGAGAGGUGGUGCAUGGCCGUCGUCAGUUCGUACUGUAAAGCGUUCUGUUAAGUCAGAUAACGAACGAGACCCUCAUCUCUAUUUGCUACCUGUCUCUCCGGAGACAGCGCACUAUAGAGAGACCGCUGGUGUUAAACCAGAGGAAGGCGAGGGCAACGACAGGUCAGUAUGCCCCGAAUGUCCUGGGCUACACGCGC